GGUACGCGAGCUGGGUUCAGAACGUCGUGAGACAGUUCGGUCCCUAUCCGUCGUGGGCGUAGGAAAUUUGAGAGGAGCUGUCCUUAGUACGAGAGGACCGGGAUGGACAUACCUCUGGUGUACCAGUUGUCGUGCCAACGGCAUAGCUGGGUAGCUAUGUGUGGACGGGAUAAGUGCUGAAAGCAUCUAAGCAUGAAGCCCCCCUCAAGAUGAGAUUUCCCAACUUCUGUUAUAAGAUCCCUCAAAGAUGAUGAGGUUAAUAGGUUCGAGGUGGAAGCAUGGUGACAUGUGGAGCUGACGAAUACUAAUCGAUCGAAGACUUAAUCAA
Molecule: ribosomal RNA, 328 nt
Filed under: Staphylococcus aureus
Lineage: Bacteria; Bacillati; Bacillota; Bacilli; Caryophanales; Staphylococcaceae
Description: partial 23S ribosomal RNA
Rfam family: Bacterial large subunit ribosomal RNA
Source: RNAcentral